Molecule: long non-coding RNA, 1242 nt
Organism: Pseudophryne corroboree (corroboree frog)
Lineage: Eukaryota; Metazoa; Chordata; Amphibia; Anura; Myobatrachidae
Exons: 4
Source: RefSeq, a predicted model, not a curated record
AAGCAGGCACUUAACAGAGGGGCUGCACCAAGCAGCCCUGAGAAAAGCUUUUAAUGAGGUAAAAAGUGAAGACUUCAAGGGCAGCAGCGGUGGUAAAUGUCUUCUGACAUUCUCUGCUGCAGCUCCAGCUCUCCCCAGCGGCGCUGUAAACUCCAGAGCCCUGGUUGCCGGGUACCUACAGCGGAGGCUCCGGUUUUCUUCAUGUUAGACACACACGGCUGGGGCUCUCCAGGAUCGCGGGGCCGCGCUUCGGGAGGUGGGUAAGUCCCACAGGCCAGGGUACAGCAAAAAGAUAGAAGGCAGCCAGGAGUCCAGCGGGGACAGCGUUCACAGCGUCAGCAGUGAAGCAGUGACGUCAUCUACCCCCGACCCUGUGGCCAGAAACCGAGUUUUAGGUGAAGGUAUAAAGGUCACACAAUUGAUUGGAUCCUGGCUGUGUGCAAUGAAAGUGUUUCAACUGACUUCAAAAUAAAUGCACCUGUCUGUGGGAGCUCUCACAGUUGGUGAUUGUAUUUACAAACAAAGACUUCACCGUGAACAUCAAAGAAUAUUUAAAGCAAAUUUGAAAAAAAGAAAGUAAUUGAAAAGGACCAACUGGUUGAAAUAUAUAAGAAGAUUUCAAAGACUUUAAAUCCUCUAGAAAACUGCUUAGGCUGUGCAGUGUUUUCAACAGUGCUUUUUUUUUAGUGUUCUUAAAUUUUACGAAAACUGAGACCUUAUUCAGGACUUAGGAUGAAAACAGAAGGAAACCAUUUAACCCAUCAUCUCUGAAACUAUGGAACUACCAACAUUUCCAAUCUGCCUUUUGCCCUCAUGCAAACUCAUCAUUGAAAUGUAGUUUAUUUUAUUGUUACUCAAACAUAUUACAAAUUGCUCUUCAGCAGCUAACCAGAUGUAGACUUGAUGAUGCUCAGGUGUAAACCUGUGUCUUAAUCAGACAGGGGCGGAACUGUGGGAGGCAGUGGAGUCGGCUGCCAUCGGGCUCCUGAUCUCAAGGGGGCACUUCUCCACUGUCUCCCGCUGACGAUCGCUCGCUGCUACUUUUUUUUUUAAAUUAUUCCUACAGACGGAGGAGCUGUGUCCGUGACACGGAAGCUGCUUCCUGUGUAUACAGAGAGCUGGCUCUGGCUGCAGCUCCUCCCGGGCCCUUCCAGUUAAGCAAGCCAGCCACGUGAAGCUCUCUGCUCCUCCAUCAGGCUGAUUAUAGCCAAAGGUAGGCACUGGCCUCAAGCUGCACUAUGG